Small nuclear RNA from Myodes glareolus (Bank vole), 164 nucleotides. RefSeq annotates it as U1 spliceosomal RNA. The record is from RefSeq and is a predicted model, not a curated record. NCBI's taxonomy places the organism in Eukaryota, Metazoa, Chordata, Mammalia, Rodentia, Cricetidae.
AUACUUACCUGGCAGGGGAGAUACCAUGAUCAUGCAGGUGGUUUUCCCAGGGUGAGGCUCACCCAUUACACUUGGGGUGUGUUGACCUCUGCGAUUUCCCCAAAUGUGGGAAACUUGACUGCAUAAUUUCUGUUAGUGGGGGACUGAGUUCGCGCUCUCCACUG